Long non-coding RNA from Plodia interpunctella (Indianmeal moth), 481 nucleotides. RefSeq lists it as uncharacterized. Lineage: Eukaryota; Metazoa; Arthropoda; Insecta; Lepidoptera; Pyralidae. The record is from RefSeq and is a predicted model, not a curated record. The transcript has 2 exons.
UAAUAAAUAGGUAGUUACUUUAGAUAUAAGAGUAGGUAAGUAAUUUAAUUUUUCAUUAACAAACGCAAUUCGUCACAAAACAUAAAAAUAAACAGAAAAAUAUUAAUUUAAUUUCAUUUCACCACGGUACACUUCGGGACAUAUAAAAGUGGAGCAAUCCCUUCUCGAGUCACAGUUACGUGCAGCCAAGAUGAAGUGGUUGGGCCUUUUUGCGAUUGUUUUGGCUUUGUCCUCCUACAUUAUUAUGGUGAAUGCUGAGCAAGACUACACCAAGCAUUACGCUGAACUCGCGUCCCCCGUCCCCGACAGUGUGAACGUGGACGACAUGGUGUCCAGCCUCCUCAGAGCCGGACAGAAUGUUUAAUUCACUCCUUUUCUCUGUCUUCAAGUGUAAUCCCACUAAUUAGAAAAUUUUGUGAUAUUUAUAUUCCUUAUUUUAAUGUUUUUAUUUCUAUAGAAUGAAAGAAGCGUGUUAAUGUUA